This is a long non-coding RNA of Gopherus flavomarginatus (Mexican gopher tortoise), 239 nucleotides long. RefSeq lists it as uncharacterized. Lineage: Eukaryota; Metazoa; Chordata; Testudines; Testudinidae. The record is from RefSeq and is a predicted model, not a curated record. The transcript is spliced from 3 exons.
AAGCAUCUAAGCACCAGUCAAGUUUGGUACCCUGCCUCUGCCUCAAAGAAAGAGGAAAAACAAAUCACCCCACAGAAGAAAUAAUGCUGAUCUACUAUGCAAGAUAAAGAGAAGAGGAGAAAAAAUAGUGCGGGGAUAUUACAGAGGCUGAACCCAGCAUGGACACCAGGUUAUACGUACACAGAAGAUGGAAUCUGGUAAUAAUCACAAAAGAUAUCACGUGAAAAGGAUAAGCCCUG